Molecule: small nuclear RNA, 106 nt
Organism: Rattus norvegicus (Norway rat)
Lineage: Eukaryota; Metazoa; Chordata; Mammalia; Rodentia; Muridae
Source: Ensembl
GUAGUGCUCAUACACUACACAUACCAAAACUGGAACAAUGAACAGAAGGUUAACACAGACCUUGCACAAAGAUGACAUGUAAAUUGGUGAAUGGUCCCAAGACUGU